GCAUCCACCGGGUCGAUCGCGCGACGCACCACCAGGUAGUCGCGCAACACGAUGGCGUGCCGGUUGUC
Molecule: small RNA, 68 nt
Filed under: Gordonia polyisoprenivorans VH2
Lineage: Bacteria; Bacillati; Actinomycetota; Actinomycetes; Mycobacteriales; Gordoniaceae
Description: ASdes TB sRNA
Rfam family: ASdes TB sRNA
Source: Rfam by way of RNAcentral